RNAcentral lists this ribosomal RNA (448 nucleotides) under uncultured bacterium. Its description in RNAcentral is "bacterial SSU rRNA". It matches the Rfam family "Bacterial small subunit ribosomal RNA", at positions 330 to 792 of the family's 1533-position model. The record is from RNAcentral.
ACCAGACUCCUACGGGAGGCAGCAGUGGGGAAUAUUGCGCAAUGGGGGAAACCCUGACGCAGCAACGCCGCGUGCAGGAAGAAGGUCUUCGGAUUGUAAACUGUUGUCGCAGGGGAAGAAGACAGUGACGGUACCCUGUGAGAAAGUCACGGCUAACUACGUGCCAGCAGCCGCGGUAAUACGUAGGGAGCAAGCGUUAUCCGGAUUUAUUGGGUGUAAAGGGUGCGUAGACGGGAAAUUAAGUUAGUUGUGAAAUCCCUCGGCUCAACUGAGGAACUGCAACUAAAACUGAUUUUCUUGAGUGCAGGAGAGGUAAGUGGAAUUCCUAGUGUAGCGGUGAAAUGCGUAGAUAUUAGGAGGAACACCAGUGGCGAAGGCGACUUACUGGACUGUAACUGACGUUGAGGCACGAAAGUGUGGGGAGCAAACAGGAUUAGAUACCCUCGUA